This 544-nucleotide ribosomal RNA is filed under the name uncultured Glomeromycotina. Its description in RNAcentral is "SSU rRNA". It matches the Rfam family "Eukaryotic small subunit ribosomal RNA", at positions 548 to 1097 of the family's 1831-position model. The record is from RNAcentral. Lineage: Eukaryota; Fungi; Glomeromycota.
UUGGAGGGCAAGUCUGGUGCCAGCAGCCGCGGUAAUUCCAGCUCCAAUAGCGUAUAUUAAAGUUGUUGCAGUUAAAAAGCUCGUAGUUGAAUUUCGGGGUUCUACCGUUGGUCGGGCUAUUGUCUGUACUGGCGUGUAGAAUUUCUACCUUCUGGGGAACUAUCAUGUUAUUAAUUUAGCGUGGUAGGAAACCAGGACCUUUACCUUGAAAAAAUUAGAGUGUUCAAAGCAGGCUUAUGUCUGAAUACAUUAGCAUGGAAUAAUAAAAUAGGACGGUGGUCCUGUUUUGUUGGUUUCUGAAUCACCGUAAUGAUUAAUAGGGAUAGUUGGGGGCAUUAGUAUUCAAUUGUCAGAGGUGAAAUUCUUGGAUUUAUUGAAGACUAACUACUGCGAAAGCAUUUGCCAAGGAUGUUUUCAUUAAUCAAGAACGAAAGUUAGGGGAUCGAAGACGAUCAGGUACCGUCGUAGUCUUAACCAUAAACUAUGCCGACUAGGGAUCGGGCGAUGUUAACUUUUCUUGACUCGUUCGGCGCCUUACGGGAAA